Glycine soja is the source of this 1367-nucleotide long non-coding RNA. RefSeq lists it as uncharacterized. Lineage: Eukaryota; Viridiplantae; Streptophyta; Magnoliopsida; Fabales; Fabaceae. The record is from RefSeq and is a predicted model, not a curated record. The transcript has 3 exons.
AUAAUGCUUGACUCACUUUUUCCUAAAUCGUUGCUUAUGAGUUUGUGGUAUAAGUACGUUCUUGGAUUAGUUGUUAGAGAACAGCAUAAACAUCGUUUCUCUUUCUCUAAUUUCAUGUGAAAUUUCUAAGGACUUUUGUAACUUCUAUGUUCUAUUAUAUAUAACCUAAGCAACAUUAUUUUAAUAAUUUGUUUUAUUACUCGUUCAUUUAGCAAAGCUAAAAGGACAAGAGAUGAGGGUGAAGUGAACUACCCAUGAUUAUGUUCUAGCCAACUUCCAAUAUUCCAGUCGUGACUUGUGCACCAGAAUGCUCCACCAACACCAGUGUCUCUAUUUCAAUCUCUCGUGCAAGCACUCCUAUUUGCAGAGUUCUCUCCUCGGUGCUGCGAGUCGAUCCCUUAGGAACAAACUGUAAGCCUCCAGGCCAAUAAACAGUACUCAAAACUUUAGUAGAAGUAGUAUCUGUGUUCACCUCUGUUAGCUGCUGUGUAAUAAGGUUCUUGGAGAAACCUAGUUUUGGAGACCAUAAUGCCAAGUCUCUAUAACUUUUACCUAUCACAUUAAUUAUAUUGAAGGUUGGUGAUUGCUGUAAUUUGUCAUUCCUGGAGAGGUAAUUUUUGAACAAUUGUUCAGGAGUAAACUUCCCUUGUGAUUCCUUUGCAGCCUGUGCAAUCGCCCAGGUUGCAUCGUACAAUUGAAGUGCGAAGAAACUUGGAUUAAUUUUCUCUUCCUCGGGGAACUCCGAGGCAAAGUUUCUUUGAAAUUUGAAUUUGAACUGUCUAAAUGUCUCACUCACUUCCAUGAAGUUUGUCUUAAACCCAAUUACUCCCUGCAUGUUAGAGAUAGCAGAUGGGUUAACUGAAUCAAGAAGGCCAACAACCCCAUCUGAUAUAACCCACACAGAACCUUUUUCCAUCAAACCUAUUUGCUUUGCUUUCUCAAAAAGUAUGUUAGCCAGCUCUAAAGAAGAAUGCACAAUCAAGAAGACCCUGUUACUUUUGCUUUUGAGCUUUUUAAGCUCAUUUUCAAUGUUUGAUUUUGGGUCUGAUAGAGAGGACAAGGAAGGCAAAGCUAAAUGAUUGUCAAUCUCAGAACCAACUUGUCUAAGAGCAUAGGUGAGGUCAAGUAGCAUCCCUGGAUCAGAGGAAAGCCAAUUAUUAAGUUCAUAGAUUACUGUCACCUUUUUCCAUCUGAAUUCUCCUACUAUGGCUGCAACGCAUUGCAUGUGAAUCCUGACAUCAUCGCCAAUUUGGAUGAAGUGUGGCAAUUGAGGAGAUAAUAACUUUGUCCUUGCUGUUGGAGAAGUUAGAGACAAUGUAGGAACCUUGUUUAUGGUGUAAUUUAACUCACUUGCCAGAGUUGCUUCA